UACGUAGGGCGCAAGCGUUGUCCGGAAUUAUUGGGCGUAAAGAGCUCGUAGGCGGCUUGUCACGUCGGGUGUGAAAGCCCGGGGCUUAACCCUGGGCUUGCAGUGGAUACGGGCAGACUAGAGGCAGGUAGGGGAGAAUGGAAUUCCCGGUGUAGCGGUGAAAUGCGCAGAUAGCAGGAGGAACACCAAUGGCGAAGGCAGCUCGCUGGGACGGUACUGACGCUGAGACGCGAAAGCGUGGGGAGCGAACAGG
This 253-nucleotide ribosomal RNA is filed under the name uncultured bacterium. Its description in RNAcentral is "partial 16S ribosomal RNA". It matches the Rfam family "Bacterial small subunit ribosomal RNA", at positions 524 to 776 of the family's 1533-position model. The record is from RNAcentral.